This 490-nucleotide ribosomal RNA is filed under the name uncultured bacterium. RNAcentral describes it as "partial 16S ribosomal RNA". It matches the Rfam family "Bacterial small subunit ribosomal RNA", at positions 30 to 507 of the family's 1533-position model. The record is from RNAcentral.
AUUGAACGCUGGCGGCAGGCCUAACACAUGCAAGUCGAACGGUAACAGGAAGAAGCUUGCUUCUUUGCUGACGAGUGGCGGACGGGUGAGUAAUGUCUGGGAAACUGCCUGAUGGAGGGGGAUAACUACUGGAAACGGUAGCUAAUACCGCAUAACGUCGCAAGACCAAAGAGGGGGACCUUCGGGCCUCUUGCCAUCGGAUGUGCCCAGAUGGGAUUAGCUAGUAGGUGGGGUAACGGCUCACCUAGGCGACGAUCCCUAGCUGGUCUGAGAGGAUGACCAGCCACACUGGAACUGAGACACGGUCCAGACUCCUAAGGGAGGCAGCAGUGGGGAAUAUUGCACAAUGGGCGCAAGCCUGAUGCAGCCAUGCCGCGUGGAUGAAGAAGGCCUUCGGGUUGUAAAGUACUUUCAGCGGGGAGGAAGGGAGUAAAGUUAAUACCUUUGCUCAUUGACGUUACCCGCAGAAGAAGCACCGGCUAACUCCGUG